This 979-nucleotide ribosomal RNA is filed under the name Echinococcus equinus. Its description in RNAcentral is "large subunit ribosomal RNA". The stretch from base 654 to 937 matches the Rfam family "Bacterial large subunit ribosomal RNA", at positions 2074 to 2646 of the family's 2925-position model. Lineage: Eukaryota; Metazoa; Platyhelminthes; Cestoda; Cyclophyllidea; Taeniidae. The record is from RNAcentral.
GGUUGUUUAGCUGUUAUGUUGGUUGUUUUGGUUUAUUUGCCUUUUGCAUCAUGCUUAACGGAGUUUUGUAAAGUAUGUUUUUGUACCGAAAGGUUCUGAUUUUAAAUUUAGUUGUUUAGAGUUAUCGUUAGGUCUGGGUAAGGUUUUGUAAAUUAAAUUUAUGAUGUGAUAAGUAAGUCGUAGAGCUUUAUAACUGUUUGGUUGUUGAUUAUUUAGUGAUAUGUGGGUGGCUAUUAGGUCAUUUAUAAUUUUAUACAUUUAGUGUUAUGUGUAUAGUUUGAUAAGGUUAUAGGUACCUAAUUUUUGUUAUAUUGUUGUAAAUAUGGUUUUGAUGGUUUAGUUGUGUGUUAAUUGGUUGGACAACUGUUUUAUUAUGUUUAGUUGCUAUACUAUCGUUGAAUAAGUAAUUUUAUUAUGCUAUUUAUUUCUCGAAUUCUUUCCGUCUGUUUAUUAAAAACAUUUCCAAUUUUAAUUAUAAUUGGUAGUGCCUGCCCAAUGUUGGUUGAUUAAUGGCCGCGGUAUAUUGACUGUGCAAAGGUAGCAUAAUUAAUUGCCUUUUAAUUGGAGGCUUGUUUGAAUGGUUUGACGAGAUAGGUAUGAAUAUUUGGUAUUUGGUUGAAAUUGAUUUUAAGGGUUUAGAAUUCUUUAUGUUUAAUAAGACGGAAAGACCCUAGGAUCUUUUGUUUUUGUUUGGGGCAAAUCUUAAUGUUUUAUGAAUAUUAUGACCCUGAAGUUGGAUUGGUUUGUUGGGUUAAGUUACCCUAGGGAUAACAGUGUGAUUACUAAUUAGAGAUCAUAUCGAAUUAGUUGUUUGCCACCUCGAUGUUGACUUAGGCUAAGGUUUUGGUGUAGUAGUUGAGAUUUUAGGUCUGUUCGACCUUUUAGCCUUCAUGAGUUGAGUUAAGACCGGCGUGAGCCAGGUCGGUUCUUAUCUAUUGUGGAAGUUUAUCAGUACGAAAGGACAGUAAAUUUUUUUGUU